CGGGGCGUAGCGCAGUCGGUAGCGCGUGCGGUUCGGGACCGCAAGGUCGGAGGUUCAAGUCCUCUCGCCCCGACCA
RNAcentral lists this transfer RNA (76 nucleotides) under Anaerolineae bacterium. Its description in RNAcentral is "tRNA-Pro". It matches the Rfam family "tRNA". Rfam says of the family: Transfer RNA (tRNA) molecules are approximately 80 nucleotides in length. Their secondary structure includes four short double-helical elements and three loops (D, anti-codon, and T loops). Lineage: Bacteria; Bacillati; Chloroflexota; Anaerolineae. The record is from RNAcentral.